GUGUGCGUAAUUUAAAAAAAAUAUCAAGUUGUGACCUUGAAAAUAGAU
Molecule: transfer RNA, 48 nt
Filed under: Crotalus lepidus x Crotalus aquilus
Lineage: Eukaryota; Metazoa; Chordata; Lepidosauria; Squamata; Viperidae
Description: partial tRNA-His
Source: RNAcentral